This 826-nucleotide ribosomal RNA is filed under the name Salmonella enterica subsp. enterica serovar Enteritidis. Its description in RNAcentral is "bacterial SSU rRNA". It matches the Rfam family "Bacterial small subunit ribosomal RNA", at positions 72 to 893 of the family's 1533-position model. The record is from RNAcentral. Lineage: Bacteria; Pseudomonadati; Pseudomonadota; Gammaproteobacteria; Enterobacterales; Enterobacteriaceae.
AAGGUAGCUUGCUACCUGACCUAGCGGCGGACGGGUGAGUAAUGCUUAGGAAUCUGCCUAUUAGUGGGGGACAACAUCUCGAAAGGGAUGCUAAUACCGCAUACGUCCUACGGGAGAAAGCAGGGGACCUUCGGGCCUUGCGCUAAUAGAUGAGCCUAAGUCGGAUUAGCUAGUUGGUGGGGUAAAGGCCUACCAAGGCGACGAUCUGUAGCGGGUCUGAGAGGAUGAUCCGCCACACUGGGACUGAGACACGGCCCAGACUCCUACGGGAGGCAGCAGUGGGGAAUAUUGGACAAUGGGGGGAACCCUGAUCCAGCCAUGCCGCGUGUGUGAAGAAGGCCUUUUGGUUGUAAAGCACUUUAAGCGAGGAGGAGGCUACCGAGAUUAAUACUCUUGGAUAGUGGACGUUACUCGCAGAAUAAGCACCGGCUAACUCUGUGCCAGCAGCCGCGGUAAUACAGAGGGUGCAAGCGUUAAUCGGAUUUACUGGGCGUAAAGCGCGCGUAGGUGGCCAAUUAAGUCAAAUGUGAAAUCCCCGAGCUUAACUUGGGAAUUGCAUUCGAUACUGGUUGGCUAGAGUAUGGGAGAGGAUGGUAGAAUUCCAGGUGUAGCGGUGAAAUGCGUAGAGAUCUGGAGGAAUACCGAUGGCGAAGGCAGCCAUCUGGCCUAAUACUGACACUGAGGUGCGAAAGCAUGGGGAGCAAACAGGAUUAGAUACCCUGGUAGUCCAUGCCGUAAACGAUGUCUACUAGCCGUUGGGGCCUUUGAGGCUUUAGUGGCGCAGCUAACGCGAUAAGUAGACCGCCUGGGGAGUACGGUCGCAAGA